GUGGUUCUUUGAAAAAGCAAGAUCCCUGGGAAUAUACAUCUCAAAUUCCUUUCUAAAAUAUGACAGGCUCAGGUAGCUUCCUCGUAUACCUGUGCUGAACAGUGCUGUCCUGAACACUCGUGAGGGCUCUUCUGCAGGUCUAGGGAGCUGUUUCUCCAUGCAGCUCUCUCCUCUCCUAUCCGCUGCCCUGGGAACUCUAGUCUGGUCUCCACGGACUCUCCACAAAAAUCUCCAUCCCUUCCACUUGUGCUCUCCGUUCCUGCCCUGUGGUCUGGAAACUCUCAAAGCAAUAAACGAGAGCACUCAAAGGACACACCUCAUUUGCUUCUCAUUUCUAAGAGCUCACAUUCCUUCAUUGCCUGAUGUGCAGUGUCUUGAAACCUGUUUCAUAUAUUUUAUCAAGUUUUUUUUUAGUUGUUUUUCAGGUGGGAGAGUAAAUUGGUCCCUAUCACUCUAUCUCAGAAGCCGAAGUCUCCAUAGUUUACUUAAAAGUGUGUAAACUUCCAAGUAUAUGGAAUUGUCCAGAUACCUUUCUAUUAUUGGUUCCUAGUUUAAUUACCUUUUGGUCUCUGAACACCUUCUGUGGUUUCCUUUAUUUUAAAUUGCUAAGGUUUAAAAGUUUGUUUUGUGGCCCACUUUAUGGAAUAUUGUCUAUCUUGGUGAACUUUCCAUGUACAUUGCAAAGAAUGUAUAUUCUGCUGUUGUUGGCUGGACUGUUCUGUAAAUCUCAGCGUAUUAGUCAGGGUUAUCCAGAGAAACAGAACCAAUAGGAGAUAUUUAUAUACAUAGUUGGAUCACAUAACUGUGGGGCUGACAUGUCUGAAAUUCACAGGGCAGGCUGCAGGCUGGAAGUUCUGGCAAGAGCUGAUAUUGUAGUUUGGGAGGCACAAUUCCUACCAGUUCCAGGGGCUUUCAACUAAUUGGAUAGGGCCCAUCUACAUUACGGAAGAUAAUUUGCUUUACCCAAAGUCUACUGGCUUAAAUGUUAAUCAAUCUAAGAUCUACCUUCAUAGCAAUAUCUACACUGGUAUUUGACCAACAUCUGGGUGUCAUCACCUAGCCGAAUAGACACAUAAAAUUAACCAUCACUGUUAGCGGUGGAAGACAUCCAAGUUAUCCAAAGUUACCUGUGGUGCAUCUGUGUGAGUUGGCAGCAACUCCAGUCCUUGCCUCCUCAGAAGAAAGAAUUUGACUGAGGGGCAUAAAGCAGAAGAAGAGACUGCCGCAAGUUUCAGGGCAGGAAUGAAAAUUUAUUAAAAGGCUUUAGAACAGUAAGGAAAGAAAAGAAGGAAAGUACAACUUGAAAGUACAAGAGGUCAAGCUGUGCACUUGGUUUCUCAAGGGCCAGGCAGGCAACUUGAGAAGUCAAGUGCAUAGCCUGACCUCUUGACUUGGGGUUCUAUAGGUUGGCAUAACUCCGGGAUCUUAUUGGGAAGCUGCUGAUCAGUUUCGAGUGUUUUCUACCUAUUAGGAGACUGCCUUUCUGUGGUGCCAGCCAUGACCAAUUAUUACUUUAGAGAAACGGUUAACAACCGCCUGACCAUCACCUGAUGGUUGCCCAACACUCCUGGUGUGUGUGUUGUGGGGAGCCCUCUCCUGCCUUGCUCCAGGCUACCUACUGUAACAUCACAGUCAGGUCCAGUUGGCCUAUGAUGUUCAUGACUGCUAAAUGCUUGCUAAUUUUGUCUUUUUGUCCUACCAAUUACUGAUAGAGAAGAGUCUCCAAAUAUAAUUGUGCUUUGAAUAUUUCUUCUUCAGCUUUAUUAAUUUUACCUCAUGUUUUUUGAACUUCUGUUUUAGGGACGUACACUGAGGACAUUUAUGGUUUUUGGUGAACUUACUCUUUCAUCAUUUUAUAAUGCUCCUCCCUCGUAAUUUUCCUUAUUCUGAAAUUUACUUUGAUCUUAAAAUUACGGUAGCAGUUUUCUUAUAAUUUGUGUUUGUAUCGUGUAUCUUUUUA
RNAcentral lists this long non-coding RNA (1960 nucleotides) under Homo sapiens (human). Its description in RNAcentral is "HSALNT0115357". Lineage: Eukaryota; Metazoa; Chordata; Mammalia; Primates; Hominidae. The record is from RNAcentral.